GGAGAUUUAGCUCAGUGGUAGAGCGCUUGCCUAGCAAGCUCAAGACCCUGGGUUCGGUCCCCAGAUCCA
Molecule: non-coding RNA, 69 nt
Organism: Rattus norvegicus (Norway rat)
Lineage: Eukaryota; Metazoa; Chordata; Mammalia; Rodentia; Muridae
Source: Rfam